This 509-nucleotide ribosomal RNA is filed under the name uncultured bacterium. RNAcentral describes it as "partial 16S ribosomal RNA". The stretch from base 15 to 371 matches the Rfam family "Bacterial small subunit ribosomal RNA", at positions 42 to 397 of the family's 1533-position model. The record is from RNAcentral.
GACGAACGCUGGCGGCGUGCUUAACACAUGCAAGUCGAACGGAAAGGCCCUGCUUUUGUGGGGUGCUCGAGUGGCGAACGGGUGAGUAACACGUGAGUAACCUGCCCUUGACUUUGGGAUAACUUCAGGAAACUGGGGCUAAUACCGGAUAGGAGCUCCUGCUGCAUGGUGGGGGUUGGAAAGUUUCGGCGGUUGGGGAUGGACUCGCGGCUUAUCAGCUUGUUGGUGGGGUAGUGGCUUACCAAGGCUUUGACGGGUAGCCGGCCUGAGAGGGUGACCGGCGAAGGUGGUGAGGAGAGACGGCCCAGAGGGACGCGGGGGGGAGCGGUGGGAAAUAGGGAACAGCGGGCGGAGGCCGGCGGCAGCGAGGCGGGGUGGGGGAGGCGGGCCUGCGGGUGGUAAACCGCUUGCGGCGGGGGAGAGGCGUGAGUGACGGUGAGGGGAAAGGAGGCACCGGGUAACGACGUGCCAGCAGCGGGGGUAAGGAAAAAAAGAGCACACGACUGAAC